UACAGAGGGUGCGAGCGUUAAUCGGAGUUACUGGGCGUAAAGGGCGCGUAGGCGGUUAAGCGAGUGUGAUGUGAAAGCCCCGGGCUUAACCUGGGAAGUGCAUCGCAAACGGCUGAACUAGAGUAGAUGAGAGGGUGAUGGAAUUUCCGGUGUAGCGGUGAAAUGCGUAGAGAUCGGAAGGAACGUCGAUGGCGAAGGCAGUCACCUGGCAUCAUACUGACGCUGAGGCGCGAGAGCGUGGGGAGCAAACAGG
RNAcentral lists this ribosomal RNA (253 nucleotides) under uncultured bacterium. Its description in RNAcentral is "partial 16S ribosomal RNA". It matches the Rfam family "Bacterial small subunit ribosomal RNA", at positions 524 to 776 of the family's 1533-position model. The record is from RNAcentral.